This 5138-nucleotide long non-coding RNA is filed under the name Homo sapiens (human). Its description in RNAcentral is "HSALNT0293835". The record is from RNAcentral. Lineage: Eukaryota; Metazoa; Chordata; Mammalia; Primates; Hominidae.
CGGAGAGCGAGAUCCCGUUUCAAAAUCGCAAAACUGUGGGGGAGGAUGAAGGCGAGACUUUCCCAAACCAUCCUGGGCACCAAAGAAGGGUUUCGCCGUGUUGGCUGGGCUGGUCUCCGCCUCAUGACCGCGAGUGAUCUGCCCGCCUGGGCCUCCUGAAGUGCCGGGAUUGCAGACGGAGUCUCGCUCACUCAGUGCUCAAUGUUGCCCAGGCUGGAGUGCAGUGGCGUGAUUUCGGCUCACUACAACCUCCACCUCCCAGCCGCCUGCCUUGGCCUCCCAAAGUGCCAAGAUUGCAGCCUCUGCCCGGCCCCCACCCCAUCUGGGAAGUGAGGAGCGUCUCUGCCUGGCCGCCCAUCGUCUGGGAUGUGAGGGGCCCCUCUGCUGGGCCGCCCAGUCUGGGAAGUGAGGAGCGCCUCUUCCCGGCCGCCAUCCCAUCUAGGAAGUGAGGAGCAUCUCUGCCCGGCCGCCCAUCGUCUGGGAUGUGGGGAGCGCCUCUGCCCCGCCGCCCUGUCUGGGAUGUGAGGAGCGCCUCUGCCCGGCAGUGACCCCGUCUGGGAACUGAGGAGCGUCUCUGCCUGGCCGCCACCCCGUCUGGGAGGUGAGGAGCAUCUCUGCCCGGCCGCCCUGUCUGAGAAGUGAGGAGCCCCUCCGCCCGGCAGCCGCCCAGUCUGGGAAGUGAGGAGCCCCUCCGCCCGGCAGCUGCUCCCUCUGGGAAGUGAGGAGCGUCUCCGUCCGGCAGCCGCCCUGUCCGGAAGGUGGGGGGCAGCCCCCGCCCGGCCAGCCGCCCCGUCCGGGAGGGAGGUGGGGGGCAGGCCCUGCCGGGCCAGCUGCCCCGUCAGGGAGGGAGGUGGGGGACGCCUCUGCCCGGCUGCCCCGUCUGGGAAGUAAGGAGCCCUUCUGCCCGGCCGCCACCCCGUCUGGGAGGUGUACCCAACAGCUCAUUGAGAACGGGCCAUGAUGAAGAUGGCGGUUUUGUUGAAUAGAAAAGGGGGAAAUGUGGGGAAAAGAAAGAGAUCAGAUUGUUACUGUGUCUGUGUAGAAAGAAGUAGACAUAGGAGACUCCAUUUUGUUCUGCACUAAGAAAAAUUCUUCUGCCUUGGGAUGCUGUUAAUCUAUAACCUUACCCCCACCCCCGUGCUCUCUGAAACAUGUGCUGUGUCCACUCAGGGUUAAAUGGAUUAAGGGCGGUGCAAGAUGUGCUUUGUUAAACAGAUGCUUGAAGGCGGCAUGCUCCUUAAGAGUUAUCACCACUCCCUAAUCUCAAGUACCCAGGGACACAAACACAGCGGAAGGCGGCAGGGUCCUCUGCCUAGGAAAACCAGAGACCCUUGUUCACAUGUUUAUCUGCUGACCUUCCCUCCACUAUUGUCCUAUGACCCUGCCAAAUCCCCCUCUCUGAGAAACACCCAAGAAUGAUCAAUAAAUACUAAAAUAAAUAAAUAAAUAACCCAUUAGACUGAGAAGUGAAGUGUCAGUACAAGGACAGUCUACUAAAAUUGCUGAAAAAUAGCAAUUAUAGUAUUUAGUGGUGGCACAGAUAUUUAUAUUUGGUUUUGUAGAUAUUUGUGUCAGCUAUAUCAAAUUAAUUAAAUUAAACCAACAACUAUUUAAAAAAAAAAGAAAAUAGUUUCCAUAAUUAUAUUAGAAAUUGAAUCUACCAGUAUAUAAUAUGAAUAAUACAACUAUGGAGGUUUAAUUUCAGGAAAGAAUGGUCCAACAUCAAGAAAUCUAUAAACAUAACUAUAUCGACAUUUGUAGAAGAAAAACCACAUAUCAACAAAUGCCAAUAAAGGCAUGUGGCAAAAUUCAGCAGCUAUUCCUUAAAAGCUAAAUUAAUCCAGGUAGCAAGACACUGCUUAAACAUUACCAUAACCAGAAAACAGUAAACUAUAGUGAAAUCCUCUAUUUUAAGAGUUGGGAAUGAGAAAGAAUGAUUGCUAUUAGCUCUAUUAUUUAACAUUAUUUUUGGAAAUUCAAGCUAAGGAAAUAACCCAAAAAGAACCAAAUAAAUUUUAAAAAUUACAUAAAAAUUGGAAAAGAGGCGAAAAUAUAGCUGUUUGCAGAUUAUAUUUCUUUAAACCUUAAAAAAUUAAUAGAAUACAAUUUGGUAAGGUGUCUAGAUACAAGGUAAGUAUACAAAGUCAAUAGUUUUUCCAUAUCCUAGCAUUAACCAAUUAGAAAUUGAAACUGCAUUCACCAGAUUGCAGGAGAGCUCAACAUUGUAUCAUUCCCCCAUAUUAUUGCAUAUAAUUAAUUUUUGAUAAUAUUCCACUGUAAGAUCAUGAUAGUUUAUUCCUUCUUCUAUUAAAAGCAUUUGGGUUGGUCCUGUCUUUCCUUCCCUCCUCCCUCUCUUCUCCCUCUUUCCCUAUUAUGAUCCUUGCAUAUGUUUUGUAUAUUCUUGUACAUGUCUCCUUAGUCUGUUUUGUAAUAGCUUCUCUAGGUUAUAUACUUUGAGCGAAUUGCACAGUUAUGACUACAGAACUAUUUGUAUUAGUCUAUUCGCUCAUUGCUAUAAAGAAAACCUGAGACUGUGUAACUUAUAAAGAGAUUUAAUUGGCUCAUGGUCCUGCAGGUUGUAUAGAAAGCAUAGUAGCUCCUGCUUUUGGGGAGUCCCCAGAGAGCUUCUAAUCAUGGCAGAAGGCAAAGGGCGGGGGGCAAGGUGGCAGAAGCAGGAGCAAGAGAGAGAAGGGGGAGGUGCCACACAUUUUUAAACAACAAAGAUCUCGUGAGAACUCUCACUAUACAGUACUAAGAGGGGAUGAUGCUAAACCAUUCAUCAAGACUCCAACACCAUGAUCCAAUCACCUUCUACCAGACCCCACCUCCAGCACUGGGAAUUACAUUUCAACAUGAGAUUUAGGUGGGGACACGUAUCCAAACCAUAGCACUAUUCAAUUUUAUAAAAUAAUGUUAAAUUGUUUUCAAAAAUUUUUUUUCUUUUAACCUUUCUGUCUUCUAGGCUAGAGUGCAAUGGCAUGAUCAUGGCUCAACUGCCACCUUGAACUCCUGGCCUCAAGUGAUCCUCCUGCCUUGGCCUCCCAAAGUAUUGGGAUUACAGGCAUGAGCCACUGCACUCAGCCAAUGUUGUUAUGUUUAUACUCCUGACCACCAGUGUGUGAGUUCUUACUGAUCCUCUCCCAACAUUUGAUAAUGCUAGAUUAUUUUAGCUAAUGUGAUGGAUGGAUAAAAAGUGGUAUCUCCUAUGGUCUCAAUUUUCAUUUCUCAGUAUUAAAUAAUCUGAGCAUCUUUUCAUCUUUUUAACCUAUGUUUCUUCUGAAGUGAAAUGCCUGUGAGUGGCAGAAAUUACCAAUAUCCACAUGUUGCUCCAAAUGUCUCAUGCUUAGUCAGGUGUGGCCAAGUGAUUGGGUUCUGGCCAGAAGGAUAUGAGUGCAAGAGGUUUAAGUUUCUCCCAAGUCUGGGCAUUAAAAACACUGUAGACUGGCAUGGUAGCUCAUGUCUAUAAUCCCAGCACUUUGGAAGGCUGAGGCGGGCAGAUAGAUCACUUGAGCCCAGGAAUUCGAGAUCAGCCUGGGCAGCAUGACAAAACCCUGUCUCUACUAAAAAAUACAAAAAAUUAGCUGUGCAUGGUGGUGUGUGCCUGUAGUCCCAGCUACUUGGGAGGCUGAGGUGGGAGGAUCACCUGAGCCCAGGAAGUUGAGGCUGCAGUGAGCUGUGAUUGCACCACUGCACUCCAGCCUAGGUGAUGGGAGUGAGACCCUGUCUCAAAAAAAAAAAAAAAAAAAAAAACAUAAAAAACAAACAAAUUCUGUGUAAUCUUCUGACCUUAUAUUCCUGUGCUGUAUCAAUUUUAGACAUAUUUUCCAGGUGGUAUAACUACAUGAUGGAGUAGAGCCACUCAAACUGCUUCAAUGUCUAUGAAAAUGGAAUAUCAUUUCUACAUUUCUUAUAGAGUAGAACAUUUUGUGGUAAACUUUUUUUUCAUCCUCCUUUUGAUAGUUUUGCCAAGUUAAGAAUCCCAAGCUGCCUCCCCCACCCCAGUUUUCCUUCUUAUUUAAUCAAAUAUUGGCAGAUAAACAUAAUUACAGCACAAUUCAGAUAAUUCUUCAUGUUGUAUACAUAGAUCUUUAAAUAUAAUCUAAAAGGAAUCUGCAGUCCACAAUGACACACAUACAGCUUUUCCUUACUUUGCUUAAAAAACAUUAUUUGAGGCAGGGUCUCACUCUCACCCAGGCUGGAGUGCAGUGGUGUGAUCUUAUCCUUGCCUCCCAGGUUCAAGUGAUUCUCAUGCCUCAGCCUCACGAGUAGCUGGGACUACAGGCAUGCACCACCAUGCCUGGCUAAUUUUUGGUUUGUUUUUGUUUUGGUAGAGGUGGGGUUUCACCAUGUUGGCCAGGCUAGUCUUGGACUCCUGACCUCAAGUGAUCUGCCCACCUUGGCCUCCCAAAGUGCUAGGAUGAGCCACCACGCCUGGCAAAAAAGUUUUUAAACCAUACAAAUUUAGAAUCCUAUCAGCACACACUUUGCUGUGACAUAGUUCAGACACAAAUAGGGUACAAAAAAAUAUGCUAACAUAUAUAUAAACUUUGUUAAUGAAAAAAAACAGAAACAAGUAUGAUUGAGAUACAUUUAGUCACUGAUAACUAGUUGUGCCCUAAGGGAACAACUAAGAGAAACUGUGCUGCAGAGAAAACCUAUAUAUAGAUAUACAACAAGAAAAUAAACUAUAAGAUUAAUACAUGCAUGUUUAAUACUGGAAAAAAAUCACAGCCCUCCAAAGUUUCUCCAUAUUUCAAGUCGACAGUUAUUUUUCUCUCAAAACUUUGAGGAUUUAAUUCUACUGUUUCUGGUAUUCAUUGUUACUGAUAACUCGUUUAUAUUUGGUAAAAUAAAAAUAAGCUGCUUUUCCCUUGCUGCUUGCAAAAUUUUGCUUAUGGUGUGUAGGCCACUGAAAAAUGUUUUAGGUAUGAAUUUCUUCUUAAUUAUCUUGUUUGGAAUGUUACACUUACAGGAUAAAAUGACUUUUUUAAAUUUUAAGAAAAUCACAAUUAUUGUCUCCUCAAAUAAUGACCCUCCUUAUUCUUGUAGUUGAUUCCAAGGACUCUAAUUUAGAUAUAUGUUAGGUCUUUCCAUUCUAUCCUGUAGAUCAGGGGUUGGCAAACUUAUUUUUUCAAUAA